This 451-nucleotide ribosomal RNA is filed under the name uncultured Fibrobacter sp. Its description in RNAcentral is "partial 16S ribosomal RNA". It matches the Rfam family "Bacterial small subunit ribosomal RNA", at positions 341 to 792 of the family's 1533-position model. Lineage: Bacteria; Pseudomonadati; Fibrobacterota; Fibrobacteria; Fibrobacterales; Fibrobacteraceae. The record is from RNAcentral.
ACGGAAGGCAGCAGUAGGGAAUAUUGCACAAUGGGGGGAACCCUGAUGCAGCAACGCCACGUGUGGGAAGAAGCAUUUCGGUGUGUAAACCACUGUCGUGAGGGAAUAAUGCUUGGUCUCGGCCAAGUUGAAUGUACCUCGAAAGGAAGCACCGGCAAACUUCGUGCCUGCAGCCGCGGUAAUACGAGGGGUGCAAGCGUUGUUCGGAAUCACUGGGCGUAAAGGGAGCGCAGGCGGAGAUGCAAGCAGUCUGUACAAUACCGGGGCCCAACCCCGGACCUGCAGACUGGACUGUUUCUCUUGGAUAGUUCAGGGGCAAGCGGAAUUCCUGGUGUAGCGGUGGAAUGCGUAGAGAUCAGGAAGAACACCGAUGGCGAAGGCAGCUUGCUGGGGACUUAUCGACGCUCAUGCUCGAAAGUGCGGGUAGCAAACAGGAUUAGAUACCCUGGUA